Molecule: transfer RNA, 73 nt
Filed under: Phaeodactylum tricornutum CCAP 1055/1
Lineage: Eukaryota; Bacillariophyta; Bacillariophyceae; Surirellales; Neidiaceae
Description: tRNA-Val for anticodon AAC
Rfam family: tRNA
About the family: Transfer RNA (tRNA) molecules are approximately 80 nucleotides in length.
Source: Rfam by way of RNAcentral
AGGAGGUUAGUGUAGUGGUUAUCACGUUUCGUUUACACCGAAAAGGUCACCGGUUCGAACCCGGUACUUCCUA